GUGGACGCCAGUCUGCGUGGAGCCGACCUUGAAAUACCACCCUUUAAUGUUUGAUGUUCUAACGUGGACCCGUAAUCCGGGUUGCGGACAGUGUCUGGUGGGUAGUUUGACUGGGGCGGUCUCCUCCUAAAGAGUAACGGAGGAGCACGAAGGUUGGCUAAUCCUGGUCGGACAUCAGGAGGUUAGUGCAAUGGCAUAAGCCAGCUUGACUGCGAGCGUGACGGCGCGAGCAGGUGCGAAAGCAGGUCAUAGUGAUCCGGUGGUUCUGAAUGGAAGGGCCAUCGCUCAACGGAUAAAAGGUACUCCGGGGAUAACAGGCUGAUACCGCCCAAGAGUUCAUAUCGACGGCGGUGUUUGGCACCUCGAUGUCGGCUCAUCACAUCCUGGGGCUGAAGUAGGUCCCAAGGGUAUGGCUGUUCGCCAUUUAAAGUGGUACGCGAGCUGGGUUUAGAACGUCGUGAGACAGUUCGGUCCCUAUCUGCCGUGGGCGCUGGAGAACUGAGGGGGGCUGCUCCUAGUACGAGAGGACCGGAGUGGACGCAUCACUGGUGUUCGGGUUGUCAUGCCAAUGGCACUGCCCGGUAGCUAAAUGCGGAAGAGAUAAGUGCUGAAAGCAUCUAAGCACGAAACUUGCCCCGAGAUGAGUUCUCCCUGAGACUUAGAGUCUCCUGAAGGAACGUUGAAGACGACGACG
Molecule: ribosomal RNA, 694 nt
Filed under: Salmonella enterica subsp. enterica serovar Newport
Lineage: Bacteria; Pseudomonadati; Pseudomonadota; Gammaproteobacteria; Enterobacterales; Enterobacteriaceae
Also listed under: 2 other names
Description: partial 23S ribosomal RNA
Rfam family: Bacterial large subunit ribosomal RNA
Source: RNAcentral